RNAcentral lists this non-coding RNA (133 nucleotides) under Lipomyces starkeyi NRRL Y-11557. Its description in RNAcentral is "Eukaryotic large subunit ribosomal RNA". It matches the Rfam family "Eukaryotic large subunit ribosomal RNA", at positions 675 to 812 of the family's 3401-position model. The record is from Rfam by way of RNAcentral. Lineage: Eukaryota; Fungi; Ascomycota; Lipomycetes; Lipomycetales; Lipomycetaceae.
CUAACAACUAUGCGAGUGUUUGGGUGUAAAACAAGUACGCAUAAUGAAAGUGAACGUAGGUGGGAACCUUUUGGUGCACCAUCGACCGAUCCUGAUGUAUUCGGAUGGAUUUGAGUAAGAGCAUAGCUGUUGG